Abrus precatorius (Indian licorice) is the source of this 103-nucleotide small nucleolar RNA. RefSeq annotates it as small nucleolar RNA Z279/snoR105/snoR108. The record is from RefSeq and is a predicted model, not a curated record. NCBI's taxonomy places the organism in Eukaryota, Viridiplantae, Streptophyta, Magnoliopsida, Fabales, Fabaceae. The transcript has a single exon.
GGGACAUGAGGAGUGGUUAUAACUCGCAUUAAAUAUGCGAGAGGGGUGUCCGCCCCCGCCUGGUUACGACAUCAGGGCACUCUACUGUAGCCCAUCUGAUCCC